GUUUAUUCCAUUGACAGUUUGAGCUCCAGGCUCAUCCAGAUUGGCUGGUCAGCUCUCAAUCUGUUUGUGGAAUCUGGCACACACAGAGCCCCUGAAUCAGGGGCCAAGGGGAUCCGGGUUUCUUUAAAUGAUGGUGCACACCAGCUCCGAAUUUUUCACAACAAUCCUUGCCCAGAUCAGCCCUUCUCUGCCAGUUCUCUGACUUUGGUAGGACGGUAUGUGCCCUGUGCAACCCUGCUGGUGAGGGUUUUCAAGGCUCCUACAGAUUUCAGACACCAAACUUUGCAGAGAAACAUGGUCCCCCAGGCACACUGGGUCAAUAUGGGUCUCUUCCAACCUAGGCCAGAUUAUUCUGAAGAAGUAUAUUACUCAGAUUCAGCCAAGCCUGAUGGAGGAGAAAUUUACUUCUAUGAAGCCAUGAUGAACAGAUUGAGUUAG
This 438-nucleotide long non-coding RNA is filed under the name Pogona vitticeps (central bearded dragon). RNAcentral describes it as "lncRNA (ENSPVIG00000022689.1)". The record is from RNAcentral. Lineage: Eukaryota; Metazoa; Chordata; Lepidosauria; Squamata; Agamidae.